Gadus macrocephalus (Pacific cod) is the source of this 470-nucleotide long non-coding RNA. RefSeq lists it as uncharacterized. The record is from RefSeq and is a predicted model, not a curated record. Lineage: Eukaryota; Metazoa; Chordata; Actinopteri; Gadiformes; Gadidae. The transcript is spliced from 3 exons.
GUGUGCAGGUGACCCCUGACCUGCAGAACGAGGUGCUGAUGAGCCUGCUGGAGACGGACCCCGACGUGGUGGACUACCUGCUGAGGAGGAAGGCCUCGCAGAGCCCGGAGAGCCCCCCCUCGGAGGCCUCCUUCGUCCCUGAGCGAGCGCCGCUCCUCCAGCGACUCCACCAAGCCGUUCCAGCGGCGAGGUCUCGCCCUACGACAACAACUCCCCCGUCAUGAGCGAGCGCCGGGGGCCCGGGGCCACGCCCCCCCCGCCGCCCUGCCUCCCCACGGACCCCUGCCUCCUCAGGCUGGGGGGCCAGCCUCCGCUCACCCCCGGUCCCUCAGGGGCCCCCCGCGGGCCCCCAUGCUGGGGAACACCAACACCUGGGGCGGAAGAGACACGAUAUCAGAGGAGCACGCCAACAUAUGGGGGGCGUGCAUACCACCCUGAAACCCAUGGGCAACGACCAAUCAGACAGCGGU